UUGGGCUUUAGUGCUGUGGUGGUAAGGUGUGGGGAGGGGAAACAAGGUAUAGUCCUGUGAGUAGGUCUCAGUAUGUGGCAAGCCUGUGCUUCUGGACUGUAAACUUCAUCAAGUACUUCUCAAUUUUUUAUCCCCCUUUAGGUGGCACAGGAUGGCUGGAGUGGGCUAGAGUUGGAUAUUCCCCUCACUCAAGAGAACCAACUCCUGCCCCAGUCUCAACACACCUGAUUCUCAGUUGGAGCUGCCGGCUGCAGCAGGGGACCCCACCUGGCCAGCAUUGUCAUCCUUUGGUCAUGCUGGAUGUUCAAGGAUGCUCCUGUGAUCAAUCCCGUUGAGACUGCAAAGGCUGGGUCCAUCUUGAACCAUAUGAAAAUAAAAUAUGCCUUUUAUUUUUCCUACUAGACUUGAAUCUUGUAAAAAUUAAGGCUUUGCCUGCUAGGGUCACUGUAAGUUGUAGGUAUGUUCUACCUGAAAGGGAGACACCACAGAAGAAAACUGAAGCAAGAAAAGAAGACAAAUCAACUCCCGAUAAUGUGAUGUGAGGUGUGAGGUCCUUGCAGGCUCAAAGAAGUUUCUAACUGGUUCUCUUUGUAAUCACCAGAGCCAAUUCACAUCUUUUUUUUUCCCCCAAGCUUAUUUGAAUUGAAGUCUUCUGUCACUUGGAAUUUCAGAAGCCCUGACAAAUAAAAUGGUUCAUUAAUUGAAUCGGCUAUAUCACAAUUCAAAUGGUGGCCUGACAACAUAUCUGCAGAUAUCAAAAUUCUACCAUAAUAAUUAGACUAUAAAUGGUGUUUAGUCCUAUUUUCAGUAUUCUCAAAAGUGCUGUCUUAGAAAUUAAGCCACCGCUUUUUCUGCACAAGAAUUCCUUUCAUGCCAUCCCAGCAAAUCUGCCUCUAUGCGCUCAGAUGCAGAACUGGUUCUGAAUUGUGCAAAGAGCCACUAUUGCCAGCUCUGCUCCAUUUUUUUUCUGGCAGCCCCAGCGUCCAAUCAAGAUUUCUGGAUCUUUUCCAAUUAUAACACCAUUUGGAAAUACUCAGCAUUUUCCAGCCUUGAAUAAUGUAUUGAUCUCUUUAAAGUAGAAAAUAUUCUCACAGACCCCCAAUGUUGACUUCAAUUCUUUUUAUUGUAAUUUUACUUAAAUAUAUAUGCAAACAUAAAACACUACAAACUGUUAGGCUUAUAGCUUUUAGACAACUAUAAAAAUAAACUUACAGAACAGAUAUAAUAUAAACUACAAAACCAAUGAAAUGGAAACGAGCUACAUUAGCUUACCAGGACAGAGCAGAGAGUAUUCCCGAAGCUCCAUGCCUGCUCAGCUUGGGAGGCCAAUGUUUCUAAUUACUCUUGAGUUCUGAGCUCAGCAUUGUCAGAGGAUUCCUGCCUAGCGGGGCCAGGAUUCUCCAACAUUUUUCUGUAUUUAGAUUAUUUCAAUGCUUCAUUAGCAUGGCUUCCCAUAAAGUCACUGGCCUCUACUUAACAUAACUGUAGCUGUUAUUUAUGAAGACUCUCUGCUGUGUCUUAUUGAAUCUGUGACUAUUAAAAUUGUACCAAAAGCAGUAUCAGCAUAAUAAUAAACAUUUGAACUGUGAGAAACAAAAUCACAUGAUGGCCCUCAGCAAGGUGAUCAUCUAAAGAUCUAAAAGAUGCUUAUGUAAUUUUAAACCAACUUUAUUGAGGAAUAGUUUACAUACAAUAAAAUGUACAGACUUUAUAUGCUUGGAUGAAUUUUGACAAAUAUAUACAUUUGUAACAAACACACCAAUCAAAAUAUACAUUGUUACCCCUCAGUAACUUUCCUGUUGUCGAUUUCAGUCAAUAUCCUAUCUGACUGCCAUGAAAGUUGUCAGAAUCAAAAUGGAGUCACUAAUGUUAAGAAACCACUGACAAAUAGAGCUGGGAAAGGCUAUGAAUAGAGACUUCUCAUGCUUGUAUGCCUGAUAACAAAAAAGGCUACAAAAACCAAAACUUUGCACAAAGGCUAUCACAACCCUACACAAAAAAUCUUCCAGGACAUCUGUCCAGCAACUGCCUGUCCAGCCUCUGGCUGGUGUCACCCUUGCUAUUGAUCUUUGUAGUCAAAGAUAAUUAUUUAAAAGCAAUUAUGAAAUUCUUCUCAUUUUCCCUUUAAAAUCCUUAGUUUUCCCUUACCUCCCUGAAUACACACAUAGUUUAGUAUGACAUGUCUACUCCCACUGCAAUGCCCUAUUCCUGGAUAAAUAUCUUUUCUUUUAGAGAGCCUGACUCUGCUUGUUUUUUAGGUUGAUACUGCCAAACCAACCCUUCACACACCCAAUAUCAGAAAAUCACUUCCAUUUUGCUCAAGGACUUCCUAUACAUGGAAUCACAUAGCAUCAUAUAGUCUCUUUUGUGUCGUCUUUCACUCAAUACUAUGUUUUUGAGAUCUAUUCAUGUGAUUAUGUACAUUAGGAAACUGUUCAUUUUUCUUGCUAAGUAGUGUCACAUUGUAUGGCUCUUCAAAAGUUUGUUUCUCCAUUCACCUGUUAAUGACAUUUGGGUUGUUUUUGGGCUUUGGUUAUUGGGAAUAAACUGAUAUGUCUUCCUGUGGGUUUAUGCUCUCUGAGAAGUGUAAUUGCUGUAUGUAUGGUAUAUAUAUAUAACCCUAUAAGAAAUUACUGAAUUACUUUCCAAAAUGUCUGGCCAUGUGCUGUACUUCUACCAGCAGUAUUUGAGAAUUCCCAUUGUUCUACUUCCUUGCCAAUAUUGAUGUUAUUAAUCUUUUUGAAUUUUAGCCAACCUAGUACAUGUGAAGUAGCAUCUCAGCUUACUUUUAAUUUGCCUUUGCCUUCUAACUAGCCAAUGUCAGACACUUUUUCAUGUGCUUUUGGCCUUUUGUAUAUAUUAUGUUGUAAGGAGUCUAUUUAUAAUUGCCUGUUUUUGAAUAAAAACAAAUUGAUUAUUUGUCUUUUUUCUUGAGUUUCUGGAGUUUAUGCAUUUUUUGGAGAGACAUCCUUAGAUAUAAAAAUUAUAAAUAUUUUCCCCCAUUUUCAUUGUUUUUAAUUUUUAUUUUGCUUAUUUCUUUAAUUAUUUAUUUAUUUAGUUUGAGACAGAGUCUCGCUCUGUCAUACAGUCUGAAGUACAGUGGUACAAUCUCGGCUCAUUGCAACUCCAUUUCCCAGGCUCAAGUGAUUCUCCUGCCUCAGCCUCCCGAGUAGCUGGGAUUACACG
This 3186-nucleotide long non-coding RNA is filed under the name Homo sapiens (human). Its description in RNAcentral is "HSALNT0122596". Lineage: Eukaryota; Metazoa; Chordata; Mammalia; Primates; Hominidae. The record is from RNAcentral.